RNAcentral lists this transfer RNA (72 nucleotides) under Bos taurus (domestic cattle). It matches the Rfam family "tRNA". From Rfam's summary of the family: Transfer RNA (tRNA) molecules are approximately 80 nucleotides in length. Their secondary structure includes four short double-helical elements and three loops (D, anti-codon, and T loops). The record is from Rfam by way of RNAcentral. RNAcentral also lists the same sequence under 2 other names. Lineage: Eukaryota; Metazoa; Chordata; Mammalia; Artiodactyla; Bovidae.
UCCCUGCUGGUUCAAAUGGUAAAGAAUCUGCCUGCAGUGCAGGAGACCCAGGUUCAAUCCCUGGGUUGGGAA